Molecule: transfer RNA, 67 nt
Filed under: Marmota monax (woodchuck)
Lineage: Eukaryota; Metazoa; Chordata; Mammalia; Rodentia; Sciuridae
Description: tRNA.Ala
Source: RNAcentral
GGCUGUAGCUCAGUGGCAGAGUGCUUGCCUAGCAUGUGUGAGGCCCUGGGUUCAAUCCUCAGCACCA